GCCGGGAUGGUGGAACUGGUAGACACGCUACUUUGAGGGGGUAGUGGGCGAAAGCCUGUGCGGGUUCGAGUCCCGCUCCCGGCA
RNAcentral lists this transfer RNA (84 nucleotides) under bacterium. Its description in RNAcentral is "tRNA-Leu". It matches the Rfam family "tRNA". From Rfam's summary of the family: Transfer RNA (tRNA) molecules are approximately 80 nucleotides in length. The record is from RNAcentral. RNAcentral also lists the same sequence under 1 other name.